ACUCGCCACAGUCCACGCUGUCUUCCAUUUUUCUUUCCAGUUUUCUGAUUCUUCUUUGAACUGAAACCUGGAAAAAGCAACCUUGUCUGUCUGAGAGCAUUACUGUUAAAUCAUAUCCUCUCAGUAUCCAACACGCGUAUUCAGCUAUAUACUUGACAUCUCGUUGCUCUGAAGAAGCACAAAAAUGCAGCUCUCUAGAGGAUUAAGGGGUCAUAUCUGAGUUGGGGGUGUUGUGGUUGUUAAAACUAAGAGUCUUUAUUUUAUAAUUGUCUGGAUUCAAGGAAUGGUGAUGGACACUAAGAUUUCAGAUGGUGGUAGUCGGUCAAGGAAACGAAAAGCUGGCGAUGAUAGGGAUAUGGUGAAGGAAAACAUGUCAUUGCCGCGACGGAGAAAGGAAAUGCCAUGCUUUCGGAAAGUUGAUUUGAGCGAGAGUGAUUUCCAAAGGAUUGUUGGCAAGAAAAUUAAGGUUUAUUGGGUUGGAUCAAGAAGGUGGUUUACUGGGCGUAUUGAAUCAUUUGAUAGUAAAAAGAAACUACACAGGAUUUUGUAUAACGAUGGGGAUGUGGAUAAUCUGUAUCUACUGGAUGAACGUUUUGAACUUGAAGUUGUUACGAGUGAGGGUUUCACUUUAUGUUCAAGUUUGACGACAAAUUCUGUUAACAGAGAGCUGGGUUCGAUUGAUAAGAAGACUAGCGUGGGAGACUCACCUGCAGAAAGAGUCAAUAAACCAGUUGAAAAGAAAGGUACGGAGGAGGUGCCAUGUUUUCAGAAAGUUGAUUUGAGCAGGGAUGAUUUUAAAAGGAUUGUUGGGAAGAGAAUUAAGGUUUAUUGGGAUGGGUCAAGAAGGUGGUUUACUGGGCAUAUUGAAUCAUUUGAUAGUAAAAAGAAACUACACAGGAUUUCGUAUUACGAUGGGGAUGUGGGGGAAUUGUGUCUACCGGAUGAGCGUUUUGAACUUGAAGUUGUUACGAGUGAGGGUUUCACUCUGUGUUCAAGUUUGACGACAGAUUCUAUUAACAGAGAGCUGGGUUCAGCUGGUAAGAAGACUAAAGUGGGAGACUCACUUGCAGACAGUGUCAAUAAUAAAUCAGUUGAAAAGAAAGUUAUGAAGGAGUUGGCAUGUUUUCGGAAAGUUGAUUUGAGUGAAAGUGAUUUUAAAAGGAUAAUUGGGAAGAGAAUUAAGGUUUAUUGGGACGGAUCAAGAAAGUGGUUUACUGGGCGUAUUGAAUCAUUUGAUAGUAGAAAGAAACUGCACAGGAUUUUGUAUAACGAUGGGGAUGUAGAGAAAUUGAAUCUACUGGAUGAACGUUUUGAACUUGAAGUUGUUACGAGUGAGGGUUUCACUCUGUGUUCAAGUUUGACGACAAAUUCUGUUAACAGAGAGCUGGGUUUUGUUGGUAAGAAGACUAGCGUGGGAGACUCACGUGCAGACAGUGUCAAUAAACCUGUUGAAAAGAAAGCUACGAAGGAGGUGGCAUGCUUUCAGAAAGUUGAUUUGAGUGAGAGUGAUUUUAAAAGGAUUAUUGGGAAGAGAAUUAAGGUUUAUUGGGAUGGAUUAAGAAAGUGGUUUACCGGGCGUAUUGAAUCAUUUGACGAUAAAAAGAAACUACACAGGAUUUUGUACAGCGAUGGGGAUGUGGAGGAAUUGUAUCUACCGGAUGAGCGUUUUGAACUUGAAGUUCUUACGAGUGAGGGUUUUACUUUAUGUUCAAGAUUGAGGACAAAUUCUAUACACAAAAAACAUCUGGGUUCGGCUGGUAAGAAGACUAAAGUUGGAGACUCACUUGCAGGCAGUGUCAAUAGAUCAGUUGAAAAGAAAGAUACGAAGGUGUCAGAGAAGCCAUACAUGGCACUACCAGAGAUAACCCGUCGGAGAAAGGAGUUGCCAUCCUUUCGGAAAGUUGAGUUGAACGAGAGUGAUUUUGACAGGAUUGUUGGGAAGCGAAUAAAGGUUUAUUGGGGAGGAUCAAGAAGGUGGUUUGCUGGGCGUCUUGAAUCAUUUGAUAAUGAGAAGAAACUGCACAGGAUUCUCUAUGAUGACGGUGAUGUGGAUGAAUUGAAUCUACUGACCGAGCGUAUUGAACUUGAAGUUGUUAAGAGUGAGGGUUUCACUCUAUGUUCAAGUUUGAGGAAAAAUUCUACUAACAAAGAACCGGGUUUGGUUGGUAAGAAGACUAACGUGGGAGACUCAUUUGCUGACAGUGUUAAUAAAUCAGUUGAAAAGAUAGUUACGAAGGUGUCAGAGAAGCCAUACAUGACAUUACCAGAGAUAACACGUCGGAGAAAGGAGGUGCCAUCCUUUCGGAAAGUUGAGUUGGACGAGAGUGAUUUUGACAGAAUUGUUGGGAAGCGAAUUAAGGUUUAUUGGGGAGGAUCAAGAAGGUGGUUUACUGGACGUAUCGACUCAUUUGAUAAUGAGAAGAAACUGCACUGGAUCUUCUAUGAUGACGGUGAUGUAGAUGAAUUGAAUCUACUGAUCGAGCGUAUUGAACUUGAAGUUGUUACAAGUGAGGGUUUCACUCCAUGUUCUAGUUUGAAGAAGAAAUCUACGGAGAGGAGCUAGGAUCAGUUGGUGAAAAGCCUAAUGCGGGAGAUUCACUUGAAGGCAGUAUUGGAGGAGCUGGAAAUACAACUAGUAAGUAAAGGACUGAUAAGGUAUGGGGACCUGUUUUGCGUUAUAUUACAUAUAUGUGUCUUGCUGCUUUCUUAAUACUUAGCUUAGUUAUGGCAAUUGACCUUUAACCAGUUAGUAUAUAUGUUAGUAACUACUAAAACAAGCAGCAAGACUUUAACUAUACGUUUGCUUUUGAUCAGAAGAGGAGUUGCACAUUGACAUUGUGCUAUGUUUAUUUUGUGUUCAUUAAUGUGAAGUCAUCAACUCUCUCUCUUUAUAUAUUUAUUUUUCGUAUUGCAAGUUGAGAAAGGUCCAACUAGUUCUAUUCUGAUAACCUUACAACUAAUUUCCACUCAAAUAGUUGUUACCAUACUUGGCAUAUUUAAUAUUUUCUCAUGUAGUGGUUUAUUUCCUUAUGGAUUUCCCCAUGUGAUGGCUAUGUGUAGCAGUGAUUUCCAAACAAACUCCGCAUCUUGAUUCAGUAGCUUAUCCCUUUUUUCGUUUCCUUUUUGCUGUAAUACAUGAUUUUUGCUGAGUUGUUCCAUUGAGGCUUGCAAAAUUUGGGUAUAAGUACAUGAUGAGUUACCACCUUUUUGCUGAAUCUCAUGUAUUCUGCAUUUUUACUGAACAGCCACCUUUUUCCAGUGAUGAGUUAUGUUUCUAAGUGAUAAUUUUGGUGGUUGCUUUAGGCCAAAUGACUUAUCUAGAAUGGGAAGUCCUAACUGCAUUUAUUUGUCUAGCAUUGAGAGUCUUAUGUUUUUGGUAAGUGAAGCUUGGCAGUAAUUGUUUUUGGUGUUUGGUUCUGCUUUUUUGGUUGAGACUUGUGUCUUCUUUUCUGUCAAGUCUUCGGGCUUGGUUGUUUUCAUUUUGGGGACUUUUGUCCUUUUUAUGGUGGUUAUCAAGAAACUGAAUUUAUUAUGUUUACCAAAACAAAUAUUGGAGAAAACUGAUAUUCCGGUCAUUAAGAGCUUGAACGACGCUGCUGUGGGUUGUUUUGUCAUGUUGAGUGGUGAGAUCAUCCAGCCUGAAAAGUUACUUGUAGUAAUUGCUGAACUUAGAUUGUCUUUACUGGCUUAACACCACAAUGUUCUUUUAACUUACAUUCGAGUGUAUCUGGGAAAUUAGCAAACCAAUUUAGUUGUGGGUGUACCAAAUAUAAUAAGAUAAACUUUGGAUUGGUACUCCCAUUAGCAGCUAUGGAAAUUUCUGUCUCCUUUUUGAUGAACCCAUCAACCUUUUUUUGGUUCCUUAUGUUGGAAAUAAUUCAAGCAAACCUCAGGAUGGGCCUUAGUACGGGCCAGCCCUGCCUGUUUGAACUUCUAGACCCAGCUAGUUUAAUACGAUGUUCGAGAUAUUAUUCAAACAAAAUCCUUCGUUCUAUGAGACGCCGCGCCGGCAAAAAAUCCAUCCAAAUAUAUAAAUUGUUUCUGCUCCCCCCUUUUCUUUUUUUGUUUCUGAAACAAUUCUUCUCCUCUAGCACAUCCACGGUUUCGACACAUCCACUGUUUUAAGAUCUCUCAAAGGAGAAAAAAAUAUGCAGACUGCUGAUUUGUUAAGGUUGACUCCAAUGUUUCAUACUCCUAGUAUAACAAAAAAAACCCAAAUUUACUUCACCGGUUAUUUUCCCAAGAUACACAUGAUUACCAACAAACCCCUUCCCUUCCAUAUCUCAUCCUGCAGUAAUAAGGAUAAUGCAGAUGUAAAUUUGGUGUUGAUCAAGCAGGCACCUGCACCUGUACUGAACAAGGAUGUAACGAAAAACUCAAUAUUAACCGGUGACAAGUUGCAGUUGCAUUCUGCUAUUCAGGCAAUUUUCUUAGCUGCUAAACGGGUGUUUUCAUCUGCGAUCAAAUUGGUUUCGCCCGGUGAGACAAGUUCAUUUGUUUUAGAGAAUGAUUUAAUAUUGGUCGAGUACAAUGGGGAGGAGAUUGUGGGGGUUGUUCAGCAUGUGGUUCAUCAUUUGGAAAUGGGAUUAAUGGAAACUACUCUACUGUGUGAACUUGGUUUAAAGGAUUUUAAAAUCAAUUGCGAUAAUGUAUUCAAUCUAACCUUACUUAAUGAGGAGAAAGAGAAAAUGUGGCUAAUUUAUACCUCAGUGGAGUGCAAAGAAGAUGAUGUGAUGAAGAUGGUGGACGAGAUAAAAGAUAUUUAAAAUGCUCAUGAUGAUGUGAAACCCAAUCCUUAGAUGGUUGGGGUGGAUUUUAUGGAUCCCCAGAGAAAGAUUGACGUGAUCUGUCAUGUUGCAUGCUCCAAGCUGAAGGCUCCUCACUUCCAGAGUUACAUGGAAAUCAGGAAGAAACUAUUAUCGGAUAUUGAUAAAAUUCGAAGCAAACACGGAAGUAAGGAUGGAAGUAAGAAUCCAAAGCAAUCGGAGUAGAGCCAGAGUAUAAGAAUGUAUCAAUAGCUUUUUCUUUGAAAAGGAAAUAAAAUUUUCUUUUUUAGGAAAGGAAUGUAUCAAUAGCUGAUGAAUUAACUAGAAGUAUCCAUGUCUAAUGAAUUAACUAGAAGUUUUAAUAGGAGGUUAUCUUUACUUUUUGUUUUUUUACUUGAAAAUAGUUGUACCUUCUUAGGAGCUGCUGUAAUCCAUAGAAUGAAAUUUGAGUUCGUUUAUUUUA
This is an RNA transcript of Papaver somniferum (opium poppy), 5229 nucleotides long. RefSeq lists it as uncharacterized. NCBI's taxonomy places the organism in Eukaryota, Viridiplantae, Streptophyta, Magnoliopsida, Ranunculales, Papaveraceae. The record is from RefSeq and is a predicted model, not a curated record. The transcript has 5 exons.